GUAUUGCAGUGGCUGGUAGCUUGGCUUAUGCCAAGAGGAAAGUCCGGACUGCACAGAGCAGGGGUUGGGUCGUUAAGAUCCAGGGGGUUUGUAAGCAACCCUACGGUUCUUUUUUAUGGAAACAUAAAAAAGACAGAAAGAGAAAUAACUCUUUCUGAGAGCCACAGAGACGAGCUUUCUUCUAAGGCUUUAUAGCUAUUGAAGAAAGAGUGAAACGCGGCAAUCCCACCCGCAGCAACCCAAAUUAGCGCGAGAACUUGCUCGGUUCGCUAAAAGCGCAUGGUAGGGGCAUAGAUAAAUUACCAGCACCGCUUUGCGGUACAGAAUCCGGCUUAUAACUGCACUUGCUUA
RNAcentral lists this RNase P RNA (351 nucleotides) under candidate division WWE3 bacterium. RNAcentral's name for it is "RNase P RNA component class A". It matches the Rfam family "Bacterial RNase P class A". Rfam says of the family: Ribonuclease P (RNase P) is a ubiquitous endoribonuclease, found in archaea, bacteria and eukarya as well as chloroplasts and mitochondria. Its best characterised activity is the generation of mature 5'-ends of tRNAs by cleaving the 5'-leader elements of precursor-tRNAs. The record is from RNAcentral. Lineage: Bacteria; candidate division WWE3.